This 1446-nucleotide long non-coding RNA is filed under the name Numida meleagris (helmeted guineafowl). RNAcentral describes it as "lncRNA (ENSNMEG00000018913.1)". Lineage: Eukaryota; Metazoa; Chordata; Aves; Galliformes; Numididae. The record is from RNAcentral.
UUGUGAUCAGCUUUAAUUUACUGUACUGUGGCAGCACAGCAUUGCACCCUCUGCUCUGCAUAACCAGAGCCUCAUGCAUUUGAGUUGCUCAUUAUUACCUUCAGCCUCACCUCCAGCAGGACACUAGCUGCUGAAUCUCCGGGGCUGUUUUGCAGUGAUAGGUCCCUGUGGGCUCUCAUUUCAAGCAGAAGAGCCACAAAUCUCUGCAGUUUGCUGCAUUUACCUUAAGGCACACCCCGCAGCCCGAGGUGCCACCAACCCAAGCCUCUUGUUUCAGCAAGCAGCAGAGGGGUGCUCGGACAGCAGGGAACAGAGCUCAGUUUUCCUGUAGCUGUGAUUGUUCCUUCUCUGAUUGUUAGCCUGUAAUAAGAAUGAAAGAGGCAGACAGCAGAGCUCUGCUGCAAGGGGGGGAAUAAGAGGAAAGCAGGGCUCCUUUGGAACAGAGGGAUUAUUUCCCAUGCCGUGUACACCUGUUAAGACACCAGCUUCGAGUCUGAGCACCAAAUUGGACAGAGACAGUUGUCUGAGAUGUUAAGGAAUUCAGCAAGCAGGGGAAGCACACAGUGAAUCCAGCUUCAGCGUCCUUCCCCAGGGGAACAGCUUUCUCCUUUGUGACCAGGACUGGCACAGGCAGCUUCCUCCCUCAGCCCUGGUUUUCUUGGCACGUUGUUUAUUUUGUUGUGUAAUUUCUCUCCCGAUGGAUCCAACCCCUGACUUGUUUCAAAAGUAUUUGGCAACCUCUUUCUCACCACCAUUUUUGUUGCCUCUGUGUUCUGGGGCUGCUCAUGGGGUGAUGCAUUGCUGCUGGGUGACAUUUGCAGACACAUUUCUGACAGGAACAGAGAGCCACAAUGAUUUCCUGAGUCAAUCUGCUACAGAAUUAAGAAAAUAAGCUGAGGCAUCCAAGCCUGGCAGAGAGAGCUGUGGCAGCAAGCUGAGGGCUGAAAGCUGCCUUGGAUAAAAGUCCUGACUGCAUGCUACCGCCUUCUUCCAGGAACUGCAAGCGUCAAGACAGGCAGUAUGCAAGCCAACAAGAAGCUGAUGCAUGAGAGCAGUUCCAUGUCCAUGCUCAUCCAUAACCGUUGCUUCAUGAGUUUGAAUGUCUGUUGAGGUACAACACUUUUUCUCUGGAAACAGAAUGUGAGGUUGGAACCAAAACCAGCAAGAGCAGCAAAUCACACUGAAGUAAUGGGACGGCUGUUUAAGGACACAAACUACAUUUGUGCUUUGGCUGCAGAUCAGUUUGUGGGUAGAAGCUCUUUUUGUGUCCAGAUGAGUCUUCCACGUCUAGCUCACUGCUCGCCUUGCUACUUCCUCUAAGACCUGCUAAUUCAGCUACAUCUUCUGUACCGUAUUUCAGUCUCCCUGUCAUUACUGCCUCUGCAGUUUGUCACUUUCAGCCCAUUGCUCUCCACUCCCAUUCUAACUGUGAGACUUCUCAGAACG